ACGGAAGGCAGCAGUGGGGAAUAUUGCACAAUGGGGGAAACCCUGAUGCAGCGACGCCGCGUGAAGGAAGAAGUAUCUCGGUAUGUAAACUUCUAUCAGCAGGGAAGAUAGUGACGGUACCUGACUAAGAGGCCCCGGCUAACUACGUGCCAGCAGCCGCGGUAAUACGUAGGGGGCAAGCGUUAUCCGGAUUUACUGGGUGUAAAGGGAGCGUAGACGGUGUGGCAAGUCUGAUGUGAAAGGCAUGGGCUCAACCUGUGGACUGCAUUGGAAAUUGUCAUACUUGAGUGCCGGAGGGGUAAGCGGAAUUCCUAGUGUAGCGGUGAAAUGCGUAGAUAUUAGGAGGAACACCAGUGGCGAAGGCGGCUUACUGGACGGUAACUGACGUUGAGGCUCGAAAGCGUGGGGAGCAAACAGGAUUAGAUACCCUGGUA
Molecule: ribosomal RNA, 434 nt
Filed under: uncultured Blautia sp.
Lineage: Bacteria; Bacillati; Bacillota; Clostridia; Lachnospirales; Lachnospiraceae
Description: bacterial SSU rRNA
Rfam family: Bacterial small subunit ribosomal RNA
Source: RNAcentral